AAUAUUUGUCAAUUGAGGCAACUCUGAACCAGCCACUGCGCGUGAAGGAUGACGGACAUACGGGUUGUCCACUUCUUUUAUACAGGACUAAAGUGAGUCACGUGUGACUUUUUGCAUGUACUUUAUGAAUAUGGAUCGGCUAACUCCGUGCCAGCAGCCGCGGUAAUACGGAGGAUCCAAGCGUUAUCCGGAUUUAUGGGGUGUAAAGGGUGCGAAGGCGGAAGAUUAAGACGGCGGUGGAAUUUUGCAGCUCAGCUGUAAAAGUGCCAUCGAUACUGGUUUUCUUGAGGGUGGAUGAAGUAGGCGGAAUUUGUGGUGUAGCGGUGAAAUGCAUAGAUAUCACGAGGAACUCCGAUUGCGCAGGCAGCUUACUAGGCCAUAACUGACGCUCAGGAACGAAGGCGUGGGGAUCAAACA
RNAcentral lists this ribosomal RNA (417 nucleotides) under uncultured bacterium. Its description in RNAcentral is "partial 16S ribosomal RNA". It matches the Rfam family "Bacterial small subunit ribosomal RNA", at positions 360 to 774 of the family's 1533-position model. The record is from RNAcentral.